This 466-nucleotide ribosomal RNA is filed under the name uncultured bacterium. RNAcentral describes it as "partial 16S ribosomal RNA". It matches the Rfam family "Bacterial small subunit ribosomal RNA", at positions 28 to 507 of the family's 1533-position model. The record is from RNAcentral.
GAUGAACGCUGGCGGCGUGCUUAACACAUGCAAGUCGAACGAUGAAGCCCAGCUUGCUGGGUGGAUUAGUGGCGAACGGGUGAGUAACACGUGAGUAACCUGCCCUUGACUCUGGGAUAAGCCUGGGAAACUGGGUCUAAUACUGGAUAUGACUUCUCAUCGCAUGGUGGGGGGUGGAAAGAUUUAUUGGUCUUGGAUGGACUCGCGGCCUAUCAGCUUGUUGGUGAGGUAAUGGCUCACCAAGGCGACGACGGGUAGCCGGCCUGAGAGGGUGACCGGCCACACUGGGACUGAGACACGGCCCAGACUCCUACGGGGGGCAGCAGCGGGGAAUAUUGCACAAUGGGCGCAAGCCUGAUGCAGCGACGCCGCGUGAGGGAUGACGGCCUUCGGGUUGUAAACCUCUUUCAGUAGGGAAGAAGCGAGAGUGACGGUACCUGCAGAAGAAGCGCCGGCUAACUACGUG